UGGGGGAUAUUGCACAAUGGGCGAAAGCCUGAUGCAGCGACGCCGCGUGGGGGAUGAAGGCCUUCGGGUUGUAGACUUCUUUUGCUCUGAACAAGGCAUGCUAAUGGGUGUGUUGAGUGUAGGGGUUGAUUAGCGCCGGCUAACUACGUGCCAGCAGCCGCGGUAAUACGUAGGGCGCGAGCGUUGUCCGGAAUUAUUGGGCGUAAAGGGCUUGUAGGUGGCUGGUUGCGUCUGUCGUGAAAGCUCAUGGCUUAACUGUGGGUUUGCGGUGGGUACGGGCUGGCUUGAGUGCAGUAGGGGAGGCUGGAAUUCCUGGUGUAGCGGUGGAAUGCGCAGAUAUCAGGAGGAAUACCGGUGGCGAAGGCGGGUCUCUGGGCUGUUACUGACACUGAGGAGCGAAAGCAUGGGGAGCGAACAGG
Molecule: ribosomal RNA, 419 nt
Filed under: bacterium
Lineage: Bacteria
Description: partial 16S ribosomal RNA
Rfam family: Bacterial small subunit ribosomal RNA
Source: RNAcentral